Molecule: ribosomal RNA, 204 nt
Filed under: uncultured bacterium
Lineage: Bacteria
Description: partial 16S ribosomal RNA
Rfam family: Bacterial small subunit ribosomal RNA
Source: RNAcentral
CAGUCUGCAACUCGACUGCACGAAGCUGGAAUCGCUAGUAAUCGCGGAUCAGCACGCCGCGGUGAAUACGUUCCCGGGCCUUGUACACACCGCCCGUCACACCAUGGAAGUCUGCAAUGCCCGAAGCCGGUGGCCUAACCACUUAUGUGGAAGGAGCCGUCUAAGGCAGGGCAGAUGACUGGGGUGAAGUCGUAACAAGGUACC